UGAGGUGAUGCGUGCACUACGCAAAGGCCAGGCCUCAGCAUUUUAUUAUGGUGAUCCCCUGGGCGAAAUGCGCCUGGUAAGCAGAGUUUUUGAAAUGUAAGGCCUUUGAAUAAGACAAAAGGCUGCCUCAUCGCUAACUUUGCAACAGUGCCUAAUAAACUCUGCAAGUUAUCCACAGAGCAACACUCAAUUUUAUUGAUGAUAUUCUUAUUAUACCAGACAUUUUUCAUACACUCCCUUGUACGGAUAGUUUUCCGACAACUUCAUGAUUACAUAUCUUGCGGUUUUGAUUAUUUUUGCUGCAAGAAAUACAUACUUCAAACGAAAGGUCUUUAUUUGCUGUCUGUAUUCUGAAGAGUCCAAGGAAUCAAACUUGAACAACAAAAAUAGGUUAUAUGAAAGCAUCAUCAUUUGAAACACGGCUUCAUUCGCCCAAAAUGACUUUAGCAAGAGAUGACCCACCGCCAUGUCGUAUUUGGCUUCUUUGAUAUAGUUUUCAGCAUUACCACGCUUUUCAUAGUAUAUAACUACUUUUUCAGAAAGCAAGGUAGUAUUUGUUACAAAGAAAAAGUAGUCGUAUUCGGAACCUUCUAAAAGUGAUAAUUGUGCUCUUUCUUUUUCUGGUUUCAGUACGCGAGAUACGACAAAUCUUCUGUCUUUUUCCCAUUUAACUAAUUUUGUAUACAGUUCUGUAGUUUCUCUACCUUCUUCUCCUUUAACGAAUACAAUUGAUGAAUUCGUUGCUUGUGAGGUGAGUGUAGAAUAACUUUUGGCUUUAAUUAAAUAUUUGCAUCCAAGAGAUUCUAUCGUUUCGAUAAUUUUUUCAUCAAAGUAGCCACUAUCCAUUCGAAAUAAAAUUUCUAAAUCGUCUGAUUUGAUGUUAGCAACAAUUUCUUUGAUCAUUUCCGCAGCACCGUUUGCAGUGUAAGUAUUGCCACUUCUUACAAAUCCGGUAACAUAUGCUUUUAAUUCGUCGCAAAAUGCAAAUUGGAUAUUGUAGCAUCGGUUUCCCAGUUUCUUAGGAUUAUAUCCUUUUGACGCACCUUCUUGAUGACCUUCUACGUUAAUUACACUACUAUCAAUAUCAAUCGUAAUGGAUGUCAAUUUACUUUUAGUGAGCAGUUUUUUAAAGACUUUAAAAUUAAUGUCUCUAAACAUUUGGGUUGUCUUGAAGUUGAAGUUUCCUAGAAACCGUGACACUGUUUCAGGUUCUUUUACGGAAAUAUCAAACUCGUUGACGAGGGGAUCAUUUUGAAGUAGCUUUAGACGUUCUAACUUAUCAAUGCCAAUGAAGUGACCGCAGAGCAUGGUCUUUAUAUGAUUCAUCUUGAUUUUAUUUGUUGAGUCAUUAUCAAAUACGAGGUCAUUUUCAAUAAAAUCAAAAAUCCCAUUGCUUUUUGCAUUCUCAAGGAGCAGAAAAAGACCUGCAUUUGAUGUUAGAUUCUUAGCUUUGAAAUCAAUUUUAUUAAUCAUAAUUAGAACCCCUUUUUACUACUUUUCUUACUAUUAUUUUACCAUAUAUCGAGUCAUAAAAGCUGAUAAUUUAACAUAUUUUUGAGCACUUUUCUUUCACCCAAUGGGUGAAAGCUGAAUUUCGAAGGAAUGCAUAUUUAUCAAGGCUUUGAUUAUGCUUUUUGAAGUACUGACGUAGAAUCUAGGUACAUAGGUUAACGAGGCGAACCGGGGGAACUGAAACAUCUAAGUACCCCGAGGAAAAGAAAUCAACCGAGAUUCCCCCAGUAGCGGCGAGCGAACGGGGAGCAGCCCAGAGUCUGAAUCAGCUUGUGUGUUAGUGGAACGGUCUGGAAAGUCCGACGGUACAGGGUGAUAGUCCCGUACACCAAAAUGCACAGGCUGUGAACUCGAAGAGUAGGGCGGGACACGUGGUAUCCUGUCUGAAUAUGGGGGGACCAUCCUCCAAGGCUAAAUACUCCUGACUGACCGAUAGUGAACCAGUACCGUGAGGGAAAGGCGAAAAGAACCCCGGCGAGGGGAGUGAAAAAGAACCUGAAACCGUGUACGUACAAGCAGUGGGAGCACCUUCGGGUGUGACUGCGUACCUUUUGUAUAAUGGGUCAGCGACUUAUAUUCUGUAGCAAGGUUAACCGUAUAGGGGAGCCGCAGGGAAACCGAGUCUUAACUGGGCGUUAAGUUGCAGGGUAUAGACCCGAAACCCGGUGAUCUAGCCAUGGGCAGGUUGAAGGUUGGGUAACACUAACUGGAGGACCGAACCGACUAAUGUUGAAAAAUUAGCGGAUGACUUGUGGCUGGGGGUGAAAGGCCAAUCAAACCGGGAGAUAGCUGGUUCUCCCCGAAAGCUAUUUAGGUAGCGCCUCGUGAAUUCAUCUUCGGGGGUAGAGCACUGUUUCGGCUAGGGGGUCAUCCCGACUUACCAACCCGAUGCAAACUACGAAUACCGAAGAAUGUUAUCACGGGAGACACACGGCGGGUGCUAACGUCCGUCGUGAAGAGGGAAACAACCCAGACCGCCAGCUAAGGUCCCAAAGUCAUGGUUAAGUGGGAAACGAUGUGGGAAGGCACAGACAGCCAGGAUGUUGGCUUAGAAGCAGCCAUCAUUUAAAGAAAGCGUAAUAGCUCACUGGUCGAGUCGGCCUGCGCGGAAGAUGUAACGGGGCUAAACCAUGCACCGAAGCUGCGGCAGCGACACUAUGUGUUGUUGGGUAGGGGAGCGUUCUGUAAGCCUGCGAAGGUGACCUGUGAGGGUUGCUGGAGGUAUCAGAAGUGCGAAUGCUGACAUAAGUAACGAUAAAGCGGGUGAAAAGCCCGCUCGCCGGAAGACCAAGGGUUCCUGUCCAACGUUAAUCGGGGCAGGGUGAGUCGACCCCUAAGGCGAGGCCGAAAGGCGUAGUCGAUGGGAAACAGGUUAAUAUUCCUGUACUUGGUGUUACUGCGAAGGGGGGACGGAGAAGGCUAUGUUAGCCGGGCGACGGUUGUCCCGGUUUAAGCAUGUAGGCUGGUUAUCCAGGCAAAUCCGGAUAAUCAAGGCUGAGGUGUGAUGACGAGGCACUACGGUGCUGAAGUAACAAAUGCCCUGCUUCCAGGAAAAGCCUCUAAGCAUCAGGUAACAUCAAAUCGUACCCCAAACCGACACAGGUGGUCAGGUAGAGAAUACCAAGGCGCUUGAGAGAACUCGGGUGAAGGAACUAGGCAAAAUGGUGCCGUAACUUCGGGAGAAGGCACGCUGGUGUGUAGGUGAAGUCCCUGCGGAUGGAGCUGAGACCAGUCGAAGAUACCAGCUGGCUGCAACUGUUUAUUAAAAACACAGCACUGUGCAAACACGAAAGUGGACGUAUACGGUGUGACGCCUGCCCGGUGCCGGAAGGUUAAUUGAUGGGGUUAUCCGUAAGGAGAAGCUCUUGAUCGAAGCCCCGGUAAACGGCGGCCGUAACUAUAACGGUCCUAAGGUAGCGAAAUUCCUUGUCGGGUAAGUUCCGACCUGCACGAAUGGCGUAAUGAUGGCCAGGCUGUCUCCACCCGAGACUCAGUGAAAUUGAACUCGCUGUGAAGAUGCAGUGUACCCGCGGCAAGACGGAAAGACCCCGUGAACCUUUACUAUAGCUUGACACUGAACAUUGAGCCUUGAUGUGUAGGAUAGGUGGGAGGCUUUGAAGCGUGGACGCCAGUCUGCGUGGAGCCAACCUUGAAAUACCACCCUUUAAUGUUUGAUGUUCUAACGUUGGCCCCUUACCGGGGUUGCGGACAGUGUCUGGUGGGUAGUUUGACUGGGGCGGUCUCCUCCCAAAGCGUAACGGAGGAGCACGAAGGUUAGCUAAUCCUGGUCGGACAUCAGGAGGUUAGUGCAAUGGCAUAAGCUAGCUUGACUGCGAGCGUGACGGCGCGAGCAGGUGCGAAAGCAGGUCAUAGUGAUCCGGUGGUUCUGAAUGGAAGGGCCAUCGCUCAACGGAUAAAAGGUACUCCGGGGAUAACAGGCUGAUACCGCCCAAGAGUUCAUAUCGACGGCGGUGUUUGGCACCUCGAUGUCGGCUCAUCACAUCCUGGGGCUGAAGUAGGUCCCAAGGGUAUGGCUGUUCGCCAUUUAAAGUGGUACGCGAGCUGGGUUUAGAACGUCGUGAGACAGUUCGGUCCCUAUCUGCCGUGGGCGCUGGAGAAUUGAGGGGGGCUGCUCCUAGUACGAGAGGACCGGAGUGGACGCAUCACUGGUGUUCGGGUUGUCAUGCCAAUGGCACUGCCCGGUAGCUAAAUGCGGAAGAGAUAAGUGCUGAAAGCAUCUAAGCACGAAACUUGCCCCGAGAUGAGUUCUCCCUGAGACUUUAAGUCUCCUGAAGGAACGUUGAAGACGACGACGUUGAUAGGCCGGGUGUGUAAGCGCAGCGAUGCGUUGAGCUAACCGGUACUAAUGAACCGUGAGGCUUAACCU
RNAcentral lists this ribosomal RNA (4399 nucleotides) under Klebsiella pneumoniae. Its description in RNAcentral is "bacterial LSU rRNA". The stretch from base 1624 to 4399 matches the Rfam family "Bacterial large subunit ribosomal RNA". The record is from RNAcentral. Lineage: Bacteria; Pseudomonadati; Pseudomonadota; Gammaproteobacteria; Enterobacterales; Enterobacteriaceae.